GCUAAUUUGGCAGAAAAGUGCUUUAAACUUAGAAUUUAAAAAUGUAAAUAUUUAUACUACAGUUAGUA
This 68-nucleotide transfer RNA is filed under the name Matsumuramata muiri. Its description in RNAcentral is "tRNA-Leu". Lineage: Eukaryota; Metazoa; Arthropoda; Insecta; Hemiptera; Delphacidae. The record is from RNAcentral.